UGGCAAAGCAAGUGUUGAAGGAAUGUCGCAAAUCAGAUCUCGGGACUGCUGACGGAUUUGCGGACUUCCUCAGAAGAAUUACCCAGCACCACAACAACUUGAUGGAUGCCUAUAAAAGGAAUGCUUCCUCUGACGUGGAAAGACCCAAGC
Molecule: long non-coding RNA, 150 nt
Organism: Carcharodon carcharias (great white shark)
Lineage: Eukaryota; Metazoa; Chordata; Chondrichthyes; Lamniformes; Lamnidae
Exons: 4
Source: RefSeq, a predicted model, not a curated record